GGUGAGGUCCCGUGCGACGUCGCGCCGUGAACCUGGUCAGGGCCGGAAGGCAGCAGCCAUAAGCGGUCAGCGACGGGCGCCGCGGUCACGCCGCACUUCG
Molecule: signal recognition particle RNA, 100 nt
Filed under: Egibacter rhizosphaerae
Lineage: Bacteria; Bacillati; Actinomycetota; Nitriliruptoria; Egibacterales; Egibacteraceae
Description: Bacterial small signal recognition particle RNA
Rfam family: Bacterial small signal recognition particle RNA
About the family: The signal recognition particle (SRP) is a universally conserved ribonucleoprotein involved in the co-translational targeting of proteins to membranes. Archaeal SRP consists of a 7S RNA and homologues of the eukaryotic SRP19 and SRP54 proteins.
Source: Rfam by way of RNAcentral